Molecule: ribosomal RNA, 2577 nt
Filed under: Triticum aestivum (bread wheat)
Lineage: Eukaryota; Viridiplantae; Streptophyta; Magnoliopsida; Poales; Poaceae
Description: partial small subunit ribosomal RNA
Source: RNAcentral
AUGGUAGAAAAUAAUGUUCAAAGGCUAUUUUCUGGUAAAAAGAUUCUAAUCAUCUUAGAUGACCUGUGGGAGAUGGAAGCAGAAAAGUUAGAAAGGUUGAAGACUAUGCUAGAACUGGGUGAAGGGAGCAAUGUGGUGGCGGUAGUAACCACACGAGAAGAAUAUAUUGCACAGAAAAUUCAGACAUUGGAGCCAUACAAGUUAACUCCCUUGGGAGAUGACAUUUGCUGGACCAUCAUAAAAGAUAAAACUUCCUUUGAUGCUAGAACUAACAACGCGCAAUUAGAGCUGAUCGGGAAGGACAUUGCAAAGAAGUGUGGAGGUAUGGCUUUAGCAGCCCAAUCUAUUGGGUAUAUGUUGUACUCUAUGAAGUCAGUUGAUCAAUGGGUGUCGGUGAACAACAGUGAGUUCUGGCACGUGCUUGCCUCAGAAGAAUCUUCAUCUCAUCAGGUGCAUGCAUCAUUGCUGCUAAGCUAUCGUAGUAUGGGUUCAUACUUGAAGCUAUGCUUUGGCUAUUGUGCAGUCUUUCCAAAAGGUCACAAGAUAUCUAAAGAAGAACUAGUUCACCAAUGGAUUGCUCUUGGACUUGUUAAGCCAUCAAAGACAUUUUCUGAUAUACAGACCAGUGAAAGUUAUAUUAACCACCUUUUAGGCAUGUCCUUCCUUGGACAUCCAAAGUCACAAGUGACUAUGGACGUCCUAACUGAAUUCUUCAUCAUGCAUGACCUGGUGUAUGAUCUUGCAAGAUCAGUCGUGGCUGAUGAAAUUGACAUAGAGAGUCCUACCUGCCGAUAUGCUUGGCUGACAGAUGGGAGAAAGCUAUUUAAUUCAUCAGAGACUCCACUCUCGAAGAUAAGGGCACUGCAUUUUCAUGAUCCUGGCGACUUUCAGCUUCAUGGUGAUUUUUCACCAGCUAAAUGCCUCCGUGUCUUAGAUUUAAGAAGAUGGUGUACACGAGAGUUGCCCGAUUCUAUUGGUCAACUGAGACAGUUGAGGUAUCUCGAUGCUUCAUGGUAUUUCAGGUCGCUGGAGUCUAUAAGGAUUCCCAAAGCUCUGGGUGCCCUUACCAAACUCCAAUACUUGAAUUUAUCAGAUCGCGGAACACCCAUAGGGUUGCCAGAGGUCAUCAGCAAACUCACGGAACUCCGGUACUUAAAUAUAUCGUCCUGCAGGGGUUAUUAUUCAUUGGACAACCCGUCAGCGAAUCAAAGUUUCAUAGACUGUAUCGGUACUCUUCCCAAUCUGGAGCACUUGGACUUGUCUCGCAAUGACUAUGGUUUUAGUGUACCUGAAAGUUUUAGCAGCCUCAAAAAACUAAACCUUGAAAAAUGCACGCGCAUUUCUAGCCUUCCAGAAAAUGUGGGGAAACUGGAUAUUCAGAACCUUUUUGGCUUGUUGAAACUGGGAAGACAAGGGUUUUAUGUGCGUGCCGAUGACAGUGAAUCCAGCAGCAGUCUUGUCUGGCUUAAGCAUACAAAUCCUGAUGAGUUGAGUAUCGUCGGUCUUGAAAAUGUGAAGUCCGUAGAAGAGGCACGCAUUAUAAGGUUGAUGGAGAAACACAAUAUUGAAAAACUGACAUUGAACUGGAGGGAAGGUGUUAGUUCUGUGGGACACAUGGUGUUGCUAACAGAGCUAGUGCCACCACCCAGUGUAAAGGAUUUGAUGAUAGUAGGUUACAAGGGUGUCAUCUUUCCACACUGGUUAAUGCCUAUGAGCAGAUAUCUUCCUAAUCUUGUGAGUUUGGUGUUGUGGAAUCUGCCAUGCAGAAGCCUACCAAGAUUCGCCCAACUACCCAACCUACGGAGUAUUGUUCUCGGCAACAUGUAUAACCUGAAAGAAUUUGACACAUCAUGCCCUAUGGGUGAGGACGGUGCGAAUGAGUUCACGUUGCCUAAACUGGAGUAUUUGAAACUGGACAACUGCCCCAAGUUGAUGAUUAAGCGAUGUCCGCCUAGAGCUGUGUUCAUGUUUAUAUCAAGAGGUAAAAAUGUGCUAUCGUCAUGCGGAAAUUGUGCCGCAAGCACAGUUGCUUCCUCCUCUUCCCCUCCUGUGAGUAAACUGAAAGUUGAAUACUCGGAGUUGCCUUUGCGGCAGUGGAGAUUGCUUCACCACCUUCCUGGCCUUAGUGACGUAAGUAUCACCCAUUGCGAUGAUCUGACUAUCUCACCACAGAUCAGCCAAGCCUUCGUCUCCCUUGAAUCACUCUCCCUAGAAUCCAUUAGCCUGAAAUGUUUGCCAGAAUGGGUCGGUGAACUCCCAUCUCUUCGGCAGUUGAGCUUAAUAUACAUGAACUGCCUACAGGAAUUGGACAAGAACCUGAAGCAACUUACACAGUUGCAAUCGCUGAGUCUGGAUAUGUGCAAUGCAUUGACAUCACUACCGCAAUGGUUAGGAGAACUCACCUUGCUCAAGACGCUUAAGAUCAGAACUUGUGAGAGCAUCACCUCUUUACCGGAGAGCAUACUCACCAACCUCCAAGAACUACGUAUUCAGUGCUGCCCUCAACUAGAUGAAUGGUGUAAGUUGAAGGAGAAUCAGAUGAAACUAGCUCACAUCAAGGAAAUGUUUUUCUACUGA